UACGUAGGAGGCAAGCGUUGUCCGGAAUCACUGGGCGUAAAGGGUGCGUAGGCGGGUCUUUAAGUCAGGGGUGAAAUCCUGGAGCUCAACUCCAGAACUGCCUUUGAUACUGAAGAUCUUGAGUUCGGGAGAGGUGAGUGGAACUGCGAGUGUAGAGGUGAAAUUCGUAGAUAUUCGCAAGAACACCAGUGGCGAAGGCGGCUCACUGGCCCGAUACUGACGCUGAUGCACGAAAGCGUGGGGAGCAAACAGG
Molecule: ribosomal RNA, 253 nt
Filed under: uncultured bacterium
Lineage: Bacteria
Description: partial 16S ribosomal RNA
Rfam family: Bacterial small subunit ribosomal RNA
Source: RNAcentral